Molecule: ribosomal RNA, 460 nt
Filed under: uncultured bacterium
Lineage: Bacteria
Description: partial 16S ribosomal RNA
Rfam family: Bacterial small subunit ribosomal RNA
Source: RNAcentral
CCUACGGGAGGCAGCAGUGAGGAAUAUUGGUCAAUGGGCGGAAGCCUGAACCAGCCAAGUAGCGUGCAGGAUGACGGCCCUACGGGUUGUAAACUGCUUUUAUACGGGAAUAACGCGCCUUACGUGUAGGGCUUUGCAUGUACCGUAUGAAUAAGGACCGGCUAAUUCCGUGCCAGCAGCCGCGGUAAUACGGAAGGUCCGGGCAUUAUCCGGAUUUAUUGGGUUUAAAGGGAGCGUAGGCCGCAUGUCAAGCGUGCUGUGAAAUGUCCGGGCUCAACCCGGGCCUUGCAGCGGGAACGAGCGUGCUUGAGUCCGCGUAAAGCAGGCGGAAUUCGUGGUGUAGCGGUGAAAUGCUUAGAUAUGACGAAGAACCCCGAUUGCGAAGGCAGGUUGCUGCAGCGGAACUGACGCUGAUGCUCGAAAGCGCGGGUAUCGAACAGGAUUAGAUACCCCUGUAGUC